GCCUUUAUAGCUUAAUUGGUAGAGUAUGUCCUUGGUAAGGACAUGAAUAACGGUUCAACUCCGUUUAAAGGCU
This 73-nucleotide transfer RNA is filed under the name Candidatus Organicella extenuata. RNAcentral's name for it is "tRNA-Thr". It matches the Rfam family "tRNA". From Rfam's summary of the family: Transfer RNA (tRNA) molecules are approximately 80 nucleotides in length. Their secondary structure includes four short double-helical elements and three loops (D, anti-codon, and T loops). The record is from RNAcentral. Lineage: Bacteria; Pseudomonadati; Verrucomicrobiota.